CAGAGCAGAGGGAAACGUCAUUUGUCGGAUCAGAGGACAGGAAAGAGAGAGCGGAGGUCCUGUCGUGAACACAGCAGAGCUGACUGGGCUCGGAAGCAGAGGACCUGAGGGCGUCUGAUCAGGGGAGCUACAGAGUGAGGGACCUUCAGGGAAACACUAUCGUCACUGUGGGAGCUCCACUCACUCUCCCAGUCUGAGAAUUGAGAGGCUCAGAGAGACUGUACUACUGCACCACCAGAGACGGAGGAGAGAUCCAACCAGACUGCUUACAGGUGGGGACAAAUCACACUCUUUUCUUUAUGUGGGG
Non-coding RNA from Lepisosteus oculatus (spotted gar), 307 nucleotides. The record is from RefSeq and is a predicted model, not a curated record. NCBI's taxonomy places the organism in Eukaryota, Metazoa, Chordata, Actinopteri, Semionotiformes, Lepisosteidae.